UACGUAGGGUGCGAGCGUUAAUCGGAAUUAUUGGGCGUAAAGCGUGCGCAGGCGGCUUCGCAAGUCAGACGUGAAAUCCCCGGGCUUAACCUGGGAAUGGCGUUUGAAACUACGGAGCUGGAGUGUGGCAGAGGGAGGUAGAAUUCCACGUGUAGCGGUGAAAUGCGUAGAUAUGUGGAGGAAUACCGAUGGCGAAGGCGGCCUUCUGGCCUCUUACUGACGCUGAGGCGCGAAAGCGUGGGGAGCGGACGGG
This 253-nucleotide ribosomal RNA is filed under the name uncultured bacterium. Its description in RNAcentral is "partial 16S ribosomal RNA". It matches the Rfam family "Bacterial small subunit ribosomal RNA", at positions 524 to 776 of the family's 1533-position model. The record is from RNAcentral.